AAAAUGGUGCAUUCCACCUGACCAUGCCCUCCCUGCGUGGGCCUCCUCAUGCACCCAGUAAGACUGACCAAUCAGGUGCUCCCAGAUGCACAUGAACAGCAGCAGAACACACUGUUUCUAGUCUCCCCUCAGACAGUUUCAAGGCACCCCAAAUCAGAAGGAACACUUUCCACCAAUCAGACGCCUUAAUUACCUGUCACUCACGAAUUCUUUCUGAGCCAGACCCGCCCCUACAUCAGUGUCGGAGCGUAUGCAGAGGACAACGGAGAUCCGCUGGACUAGAGAAUAAACACUUAUUUCUCUUCAUUACCGUGCGUCCAUUCGAGUAAACCACGGCUAAUUGCACAGCUAAUUUCACGGCUAAUCUCAAGGCUACGCUCAUAGCUAAAAUCACGGUUGGACGUGUGGCAUGUGUGUGUGUGCGUUUCAAUAAACCUUUAUUUGGAAUUGA
Astyanax mexicanus (Mexican tetra) is the source of this 451-nucleotide long non-coding RNA. RefSeq lists it as uncharacterized. The transcript has 2 exons. The record is from RefSeq and is a predicted model, not a curated record. Lineage: Eukaryota; Metazoa; Chordata; Actinopteri; Characiformes; Acestrorhamphidae.